This is a long non-coding RNA of Hibiscus syriacus, 761 nucleotides long. RefSeq lists it as uncharacterized. Lineage: Eukaryota; Viridiplantae; Streptophyta; Magnoliopsida; Malvales; Malvaceae. The transcript is spliced from 3 exons. The record is from RefSeq and is a predicted model, not a curated record.
UCUGCUGUACUGCAAAAGAAUAUGAAAUAAAACAACUUUGUAGGUGAAACUGGAAUCUAUACCUUCAACCACACGUUAAACUUUUAUUACAUUCCAAUUCCCUCCACUUUACGCGGUGGUUUUUCUUUAAAAUCUGGGAAUUUGAAGAGUGCAGUGUCGGUUUAGCACCCAAUGAAAUUUCUUCCAACAUUCCUUUGCAUUUACCCUGUUUUAACCGGCUUGUUUUCUUACCUAUAUAUCCACCCUCUGAUUCUCAGGAAGCUCCGAGUUUUUCUUGUUUUGAUCAAAGUAUUCUUCUUCUUCAACCCCUAGAAAUCUGUUUGAGAAACAAAAGGCUUUUUAAGGGUAAGAAAGUAAAAAGAUGUCAUUACAAUCAGCAGCAGCCUACUGUUGUUGGUGCUCCUCCUCCUCAAGGGUAUCCUCCAAAAUAUGCAUAUCCACCGCCGGCACCAGGGUAUCCGGUUGAACCUUACCCCUAUCCACCACCACAGUACGGCGCAGCUCCGCCAAGACAGCAGCAGAAGGAAACCGGCUUCCUUGAAAGAUGCUUAGCAGCCCUCUGCUGUUGUUGCCUUUUGGAUGCAUGCUUUAGAGAAGGAAGUGAUCAGCAUUUGGUGUAUUGUUAUAAUGAAGGGAAUUAAUUGGUUUUUCUGUUUAUUCGUCCAAUGUAUAACGAUGGAGAUUUAUCGUGUAUCCUUUACAGGAUUCUGUUUUAGGUUUUGUUGUUAAGCAAUCAAUAUGGCCAACAUAGCAAUUCCCAA